AUUCAUUCGUGUAUAGAGGAGCUACGCCUCUUUUAGGGGGGUCUGGCAUACUCCCUGUCCUUUUAUUGUUAGCUAGCAGUCUCAAGCCACAGAAGUAGCUAACAUUAAUUUAAAUGUUAGCUACAAGUAGGCCUAACGGUGCAUGGACACUAGAUAGAGGUAAAUUGCCGCGUGUCGCUCAGGUCGCACAUUGUGACUCGCUUGUGGGCGUGCUGGCAGCAUAUGGCAGCACUUUCGAUUGUGCGUCAAGAAUUCAGCAUAGCAUGUUUGUAUGAACGUCUGGUUAUUAAAUGGGUACAUAGUUCAAUAGUAAUAUCCUCUAAAACGCUCUAGUGACAAACUAACUUUGCUGCCCUGUUUCAAAUUAUCUACAUGGCUGGGAGAACCUAUUCAAGUAAAGUAAAUACAUUUAAAAAAUAUAAAGAGAGCUAUGAAAGCCGGUCUACAUAUGAAGAGCAGUGGUUCUCAGUCCUGGGGUCUCAAAAGGGAUACCUUGUAACUGGAGAUUCCUUCAAAACGAUUGCCUACAGUUAACAUAUAGGGCACUGCAAGGUUGGGUGACCAGGGCCACCUGGGACUGCCUCCUGGGGGAAUUCAGGUGUGUGAAGGCUACCUGUGUCCUGCAUAACUUGAUGAGGAUGGACACGAGGACCAGGAGGGGAUGUGCAGCUUGCCGCCGUGUGCCAGAGUAGAAGUCUGCUGCUCUGUGAGAUGUUUCAAGGAUGGGGUCUAACAACGCAGCAAGAGGGGAGAUCUUCACCUCCUACUUCUUCGAAGAUGUUGCUGUUCCCUGGUAACACCAUUGACUACACUAUGCACAACCAAAGGCUCUUUUAAGAGCCAUUGACAUUGCAAUAAGAGUAUUCUUCCAUUUACUUAACGAUGUCAACAGCAGUUAUUCAAUUCCCAGUUUCUCUCCCCUUGAUUUCAUCUUCUCAGAUGAGGGUGCUGUUUAGCCACGGAUGUGAUGUCUGUACAGAAACAAAACAGGCUAUUUUAAUCACCCAUAUUGAUUUUUUUUUAAACAAUUAGAUACGCUAUAACCCAUACACUCAUGUAUCAAUAUGAUUGUGUUGUGCAGUAAGCAGGCUUAGGUGUAUAACUGUGGCUCCUUCCACCUUCAAAAAAUAGGCAAGAGGGCCAACCAUGGAGAAUAGUAAGAUAAUUCAUUAUUUCUAUAACUACUCUAUUGUUUGUCCUCGUGUGUCCGUUCAUGUUUUUCUGCAUAAAGUACUCUGCAGCCACUUAGUGUGGUGUGGACACCAGGAGAGGCCGCACAGAGCUUCCUUUUGAACACAGUCACUUUAACUACCUUAUUUUUCAAUAACAGUCUCGUUCAAUUCAUCCCUCUCUCUUCUCCCUAAAUCCUCUAGGUUAUAUCAGCUGUGUCAGUGAACCCCUCCCACAUCUGAACUGGCUACAUAGAGGGCACAGCAUGAUCAGAGGUUAGAGGUCACUUGGUCAGGUCAACAUUAAGUAUUAUUAAAGAGAUGCUUUACAUUGAAAUAGAGAUGAAGUAGUCCCAGAGUUAAUGAUCCAAGGUCAGUUUUGCAUUUCACUUCCUGAUUGAUGACUAACAACAUUAGAAUAAAAAUAAGGCUUAAACAUGCUCUCUCUCCAUCUGUCUCUUGUCUGCAGAUAUGUUUUGAUGUGAGAGGGGAUGCCAACCCCCAGUCCUAUCAUCGCCACAUCACCUGCUUUUAAGAUAACCUUUGGGCUGUUGAGUGAUACUUAUGUAAUUGUGAUGAACUGAGAAUAUUUAGGUAGCACUGUGAUUCAUUAAUCAUAUGCUGCCUUCCCUGCUCCUAUGUUUUACCUCUUUCCCUUUUACACCUCUCCCGCCGCCUCUUUCUUCAUAAUGCACAACAGAUGUGCAUUGAAGUACAGAUUGAACUUGAAUUUAUAACAUUACCAUUAUAAUAUUUAUAAUGCAUGUAUUUAUAACACUUGGAUAAUGAGAUUUUCAAUAAAGCAUUUUACAUUCUCUACUGGUUGAAAUUAAGUCUAAUUUGAUUAAAUACUACACCUAUCCUGUGUUUAUCAGAUCAAUGCAGAUGAAGGGCAUUCGGUAUUGAGAUGAACCGGUUUUAGACUAUUUACAUGAUGCAUUGGAAGUGUAGUGUACUGUUUUUCUGUAUAUAUGAAUUACAAACCAGCCUUUAACUAUUUAAAUCCUGUUUCUAGUCUAUUAGCUUCAAUGUGUAACCAUUGAUGUCCCAGGAACAAAAUGAGCAAACCCUGUUGAAGUGUAUAAUUGUAAUACAUACAUGCAGACACAGUCAUUCAAAGACUGAAAUUUGAUACUCCUGUUAUUGGAUAUGACUGAAAAAUAAUCUCAAAGACAUUCAUACCUGAACUGCACAUGUAUAUGCCAAGGUAGAGUACAUGAUCAGUGAAUAUAUUAAAUGUACAGACUACAAUGUAGGGAUCUCAUGCAUGGUAAUAACUACAUGUAUAAACAACCUGCAUCCUUGACACAAAGUUAUAUUAUAUUCUACUCAAUCCAUAGGCUUCAUUAAUGUCAUUCAGACUGUUUUGAAGUUGAUACAACUGGCUAUGAGAGCUGAGGUUCAUAGCUAGGUUCUGAACUAAUAUGUAUACCAAACGUCUGGGUCUAUACACAGAUCGGCUAGAUAGCUAGCUACACAUCCAUAGGCAUACAGGCAUUUGUUCCAUCACUGCACACUAAGCAAGAACAUAGCUAGCUAGCUACGUUGUUAAAUCUGCAUAGCAUGCUUACAAAAUUGUACAUUCAAUUUGCAGUUAAUACUUCAGCUAGCUAGAUUCUAUACAUCCACUGUUUCACAAGACGACAGAUAAAGCCCCCCUAAAAUAGGCCUAGCGACGUCCCUGGUCCACACAAUGUGGGAAAGUCCCUCUGGCAUCACAGUAAUAUGAUAAACAUCACAGAAAAACAUUACAUGACAUCAGAACAUCUUCAUCAUCUCAAAUACAAAAAUGGGUCACCCUACAUGUUUAAAAAAAGAUUGUUACCUUUUCAAAAAUGAUUCUUAGAGGUUUGAUAAGUAAAUGGAUAUGGAAUACUGACCAAUAGCGCACAUUGUGAAUAUUUACCCACUGUUUGCACCAUUCGUUAUUGGGCUUUGUAGUACAGAAUCUGGAACAUUUACAAUGUAAAACAUCGGUGUGUUCCCUAUUUACUUGCAAGUGGUAACGACUCUUUC
Long non-coding RNA from Oncorhynchus kisutch (coho salmon), 3185 nucleotides. The record is from Ensembl. Lineage: Eukaryota; Metazoa; Chordata; Actinopteri; Salmoniformes; Salmonidae.